Molecule: transfer RNA, 76 nt
Filed under: Hyphomicrobiales bacterium
Lineage: Bacteria; Pseudomonadati; Pseudomonadota; Alphaproteobacteria; Hyphomicrobiales
Also listed under: 3 other names
Description: Rhizobiales bacterium (sediment metagenome) tRNA-Lys
Rfam family: tRNA
About the family: Transfer RNA (tRNA) molecules are approximately 80 nucleotides in length. Their secondary structure includes four short double-helical elements and three loops (D, anti-codon, and T loops).
Source: RNAcentral
GGGUGUAUAGCUCAGUUGGUAGAGCAGCUGACUCUUAAUCAGCGGGUCCCAGGUUCGAGUCCUGGUACACCCACCA